UACGAAGGGGGCUAGCGUUGCUCGGAAUCACUGGGCGUAAAGCGCACGUAGGCGGACUCUUAAGUCGGUGGUGAAAUCCUGGAGCUCAACUCCAGAACUGCCUUCGAUACUGAGAGUCUUGAGUCCGGGAGAGGUGAGUGGAACUGCGAGUGUAGAGGUGAAAUUCGUAGAUAUUCGCAAGAACACCAGUGGCGAAGGCGGCUCACUGGCCCGGUACUGACGCUGAGG
This 228-nucleotide ribosomal RNA is filed under the name uncultured bacterium. Its description in RNAcentral is "partial 16S ribosomal RNA". It matches the Rfam family "Bacterial small subunit ribosomal RNA", at positions 524 to 751 of the family's 1533-position model. The record is from RNAcentral.